GUCGCGAAACACGUGACUUGCUUGUGAUCAGUUUCACGGAAAAAUGGCGCCUGAAUGAAAAAACAAGUUCGCUUGGUGGCAAAUUUUGAACGCAGUUUUCGUACAGCACUAAAAGGAAAAGCAUGUACAAUCUGGUUGAAGAGACAUUUACAGAUAUUGAUACUCACCAUGUGAACUGCAGGGUUUGCCUAGGUUUGGUAAAUGAACUGCCUUUGGAUAAAGCAUUCAGAAAUCAUACAUUCGACUCUGCCGGGAGGAAACGGUUGAAUGGACGAAAGCGAGAGGCAACGAUUUCAACUGACAGAAAUGCUCUAUGUAAAGGGGAACUUGGAAUUCGUUGGGAAAAAGCUAGAUGCAACCAGGCCAAACUUCUACCAACUGUUAAAAUGGGCAUUGAAUAAAUAUUUUUCAUAGAAAUAAAUCUUUAUUUGUCAAAACCAGU
This is a long non-coding RNA of Mytilus trossulus (common blue mussel), 442 nucleotides long. RefSeq lists it as uncharacterized. The record is from RefSeq and is a predicted model, not a curated record. NCBI's taxonomy places the organism in Eukaryota, Metazoa, Mollusca, Bivalvia, Mytilida, Mytilidae. The transcript is spliced from 3 exons.